RNAcentral lists this ribosomal RNA (255 nucleotides) under uncultured bacterium. RNAcentral describes it as "partial 16S ribosomal RNA". It matches the Rfam family "Bacterial small subunit ribosomal RNA", at positions 524 to 776 of the family's 1533-position model. The record is from RNAcentral.
UACAGAGGGUGCAAGCGUUGCUCGGAAUCAUUGGGCGUAAAGGGCAGGUAGGUGGUCUGAUUUGUCUGGAGGUGAAAGCCUUGGGCUUAACCCAAGAAGUGCCCCGGAAACGGUCAGACUUUGAGUCUUGGAGAGGGUUGCGGAAUUCCCGGUGUAGCGGUGAAAUGCGUAGAUAUCGGAAGGAACACCAGUGGCGAAAGCGGCUUCCUGGUCCAGCACCGACGUUCAGGCACGAAAGCGUGGGGAGCAAACAGG